Carlito syrichta (Philippine tarsier) is the source of this 320-nucleotide long non-coding RNA. RefSeq lists it as uncharacterized. The record is from RefSeq and is a predicted model, not a curated record. The transcript is spliced from 3 exons. Lineage: Eukaryota; Metazoa; Chordata; Mammalia; Primates; Tarsiidae.
CAGAAAUGCAUCGAAUGCGUACAACCCCAGUCUUUGCAGUUCAUCAUCGAUGCGUUUAAGGGACAGGUGUUUGCUUUGUCCACACAUCCUUAUGGCUGCCGAGUGAUUCAGAGAAUUCUGGAGCACUGUCUCCCUGACCAGACACUCCCUAUUUUAGAGGAGCUUCACCAGCACACAGAGCAACUUGUACAGGAUCAAUAUGGAAAUUAUGUCAUCCAGCAUGUAUUGGAGCAUGGUCGUCCUGAGGAUAAAAGCAAAAUUGUAGCAGAAAUCCGAGGCAACGUACUUGUAUUGAGUCAGCACAAAUUUGCAAGGUAUGU